UGCUUAACACAUGCAAGUCGAACGGAAAGGCCCUGCUUGCAGGUACUCGAGUGGCGAACGGGUGAGUAACACGUGGGUGAUCUGCCCUGCACUUCGGGAUAAGCUUGGGAAACUGGGUCUAAUACCGGAUAGGAACCAUCUUUAGUGUGGUGGUUGGAAAGUUUUUUCGGUGUAGGAUGAGCUCGCGGCCUAUCAGCUUGUUGGUGGGGUAAUGGCCUACCAAGGCGGCGACGGGUAGCCGGCCUGAGAGGGUGUACGGCCACAUUGGGACUGAGACACGGCCCAGACUCCUACGGGAGGCAGCAGUGGGGAAUAUUGCACAAUGGGCGCAAGCCUGAUGCAGCGACGCCGCGUGGGGGAUGAAGGCCUUCGGGUUGUAAACUCCUUUCGCUAGGGACGAAGCUUUUUGUGACGGUACCUAGAUAAGAAGCACCGGCUAACUACGUGCCAGCAGCCGCGGUAAUACGUAGGGUGCGAGCGUUGUCCGGACAUUACUGGGCGUAAAGGGCUCGUAGGUGGUUUGUCGCGUCGUCUGUGAAAUUCUGGGGCUUAACUCCGGGCGUGCAGGCGAUACGGGCAUAACUUGAGUGCUGUAGGGGUAACUGGAAUUCCUGGUGUAGCGGUGAAAUGCGCAGAUAUCAGGAGGAACACCGAUGGCGAAGGCAGGUUACUGGGCAGUUACUGACGCUGAGGAGCGAAAGCAUGGGUAGCGAACAGGAUUA
RNAcentral lists this ribosomal RNA (722 nucleotides) under uncultured Actinomycetales bacterium. Its description in RNAcentral is "bacterial SSU rRNA". It matches the Rfam family "Bacterial small subunit ribosomal RNA", at positions 45 to 780 of the family's 1533-position model. Lineage: Bacteria; Bacillati; Actinomycetota; Actinomycetes; Actinomycetales. The record is from RNAcentral.